UGGGAAAUUUAUACUGUAAUUAUAGUUUAACAAAAACAUUAGAUUGUGAAUCUAAUAAUAUUA
Molecule: transfer RNA, 63 nt
Filed under: Cavia aperea (Brazilian guinea pig)
Lineage: Eukaryota; Metazoa; Chordata; Mammalia; Rodentia; Caviidae
Description: tRNA-His
Source: RNAcentral